This 1648-nucleotide long non-coding RNA is filed under the name Capsicum annuum. RNAcentral's name for it is "long non-coding RNA (CANN_LNC016446)". The stretch from base 1008 to 1168 matches the Rfam family "U1 spliceosomal RNA". The record is from RNAcentral. Lineage: Eukaryota; Viridiplantae; Streptophyta; Magnoliopsida; Solanales; Solanaceae.
CUCCAUUGCACUUUGGAGGGGUGCCUGCCUAAGGUCGGCCCAAGUGGUUGAGCCUACGUUAUAAUUUGUGGUGGAGGGGGCCUGUGUUCGCGCGGCCCCUGCCCAAAUCUUCGUCCAAACUUUGCAUCAUGAAGUUUCAGAGCAUAAAUCAUUUUAUACUCUUCUUUGUCCCCUUCUAAAGGAAGAAAGUCAGUAACUUUUAGGGAGAAGGAAUUGGCCUGAUUGAUAUAACAACAAAGCAAAAAUGAAUUGCAACAUAAGCUUUUUGAUUGAAUAGGCCAAAUCUUAUAUAGGAAAGGAUGAAUCUUACAAUUAUCAUUAAAAGGUCCCAUUUUGCUGCUGCUUCGUUAAUAGGAAUAUAGGAUUCAGAAGGCGUUGUUUGUUUGAUAUUGUUUGUUUUUUCUUAUUCAUUUUUCUUUUAAUAGAGACUUCUGCUAACAGUGGCGGAUCUACACUUAAGUUAGGGAGUUUAUCCGAACUCCCUUCGGCGAAAAAUUAUGUUAUAUAUACAUGGUUAAAAUUAUUUUUUAUGUAUAUAUAUUAGAUGUUAAACCCCCUUCGAUUAGUUUUUAUAUUCACUUAUGAACUCCCUUAGUGAAAAUCCUGGCUCCGCCACUGUCUGCAAGACAUUGUCUGUGGAACUAUUGUUCACUUACCUAAGUAAUUUUGCUAUCAGACACUGGUUUUGGAUGUAAUAAGAAUAGAGAGAUCUCAAGUACGUCGUGUUGCUUCCUGUUGGUACUGUCUAUAUAGAGCUUGAGACUUGAAGUUUCAAGAUUGAUUUACAUAUAGUGUUCUUGUGAUGCAACACUAUUGGUUACUUCAUAGUUACUCUUGUAUUGAAUGAGUAUCAAAUAUACGCUCCAUUGAUUUUUCUUGUUUUGUAUCUCCAAACAGAGAGCAAAAUGAGAGCUAAUGCCAUUUUGAGUGAUUUUCCCACAUCGCCAGCGGAAUAUAAGUUGAGCAAAAUCACUAGCAUAAGUAAUGGGCUGAGCUAACGGGAUUACAUACUUACCUGGACGGGGUCAAUUGGUGAUCAAUAAAAUCAAUGGCCUAGGUUGGUGACCUCCAUUGCACUUUGGAGGGGUGCCCACUUAAGGUCGGCCCAAGUGGUCGAGCCUACGUCAUAAUUUGUGGUAGAGGGGGCCUGCGUUCGCGCGGCCCCUGCCCAAAACUUAGUUGUAAUUUUUGGCCCAAGCAAGGAUGGAAAGCAUCUGGCAACGGAAGGUAAUUGUUCUGUUUGUCCUUUUCAACUUACUCUUUUUGAAUUGCUUUCUUACUAUUUAGAGAUAUUCUUUUUGAAUUGCUUUCUUACUAUUUAGAGGUAAAUUUAUGGAAUUUCUAUUGCCAAGAAUACUAAUUAUCCCAAAACUUUGUUCAACAUCAUUUUCUUAGUAGCUCAUUUAUUAAAUAAUGGUAGUGAGUGCGAAUGUUUGUCCUGAAAAUACGCACCCGCUUCACUAUGCAUUUAGGGGUUUAUUGCUUAGUUAAAAACAAUUUUUUUGAGCGGAGUGUCUAUUAGAAUCCACCUCUUUUGUUCCAGGUAGGGGUAAAGUUUUCGGACACCUCCCCAGACCCAUUUAUGGGACCAUACCUGUGUAUGUUGUGGUUGGAUAAAAAGCAAUGUUCUUUUAGCGUAUGUGUGGAG